Molecule: transfer RNA, 76 nt
Filed under: Acidobacteriota bacterium
Lineage: Bacteria; Pseudomonadati; Acidobacteriota
Description: Acidobacteria bacterium tRNA-Glu
Rfam family: tRNA
About the family: Transfer RNA (tRNA) molecules are approximately 80 nucleotides in length. Their secondary structure includes four short double-helical elements and three loops (D, anti-codon, and T loops).
Source: RNAcentral
GUCCCGUUCGUCCAGAGGCCCAGGACACGGCCCUUUCAAGGCUGAAACACGGGUUCGAAUCCCGUACGGGACGCCU